UACGGGGGGGGCAAGCGUUGUUCGGAAUUACUGGGCGUAAAGGGCGCGUAGGCGGCCUGCUAAGUCGGAUGUGAAAUCCCUCGGCUCAACCGAGGAACUGCAUCCGAUACUGGCGGGCUUGAAUCCGGGAGAGGGAUGUGGAAUUCCAGGUGUAGCGGUGAAAUGCGUAGAUAUCUGGAGGAAUACCGGUGGCGAAGGCGGCAUCCUGGACCGGCAUUGACGCUGAGGAGCGAAAGCCAGGGGAGCAAACGGG
This 253-nucleotide ribosomal RNA is filed under the name uncultured bacterium. RNAcentral describes it as "partial 16S ribosomal RNA". It matches the Rfam family "Bacterial small subunit ribosomal RNA", at positions 524 to 776 of the family's 1533-position model. The record is from RNAcentral.